Molecule: small RNA, 4273 nt
Filed under: Pongo abelii (Sumatran orangutan)
Lineage: Eukaryota; Metazoa; Chordata; Mammalia; Primates; Hominidae
Description: retained intron
Source: RNAcentral
UGGAGAUUCUCUGUCUACAAAAAAUUUUUAAAAAUAGCCAGGCAUGGUGGUGUGCACCUGUGGUCCCAGCUUUUUGGGAGAUUGAUGGUGCAGGAUUACUUUAGCCUGGCAGUUUGAGGCUACAGUGAGCCAUCAUUGUGCCACUUUACUCAAACUUGGAUGACAGAGUGAGAACCUGUCUCAAAAAAACUGUACGUUUCAGGCAUGUUUAGUGUAUUUGUAUUGUUAUGCAAAAGACUUCUAUGAAUUUUUCAUCUUGUGAAACUAAAACUCAAUACCCAUUAACAACUGCCCAUUUUAUCCUCUCUCCAGCCAUUGACAAACACCCUUGCACUUUCUAUGAGUGUCACUAAUUAAGAUCUCUCACAUAAGUGGAAUCAUAUAGUAUCCAUCAUUUUGUUACUGGCUUACUUCAGGUGAUAUAAUCUCAAAGUUUAUCUUAAAAUGUGACAAGAUUUAUUUAAGGCUGAAUAAUCCAUUGUGUGUGUGUGUGUGUGUGUGUAUAUAUACAUAUACAUAUAUAUAUAUAUAUAUACCUUUUUUUUUUUUGAGAUGGAGUCUCAUUUUGUCACCCAGGCUGGAGUGCAGUGGGGAAUAUCUUGGCUCACUGCAACCUCUGCAUCCUGGGUUCAAGUGAUUCUCAUGCCUCAGCCUCCUAUGUAGCUGGGACUACAGGCACAUGCCACCACACCCAGCUAAUUUUUGUAUUUUUAGUAGAGAAGGGGUUUCACCAUGUUGGCCAGGCUGGUCCCAAACUCCUGACCUCAGGUAAUCUGCCCACCUCAGCCUCCUAAAGUGGUAGGAUUAUAGGCGUGAGCCACUCCUAAUGCAUUUUUUAUAGAGAUUAUGUUGAAUUUGUUCACCACUUUUGGUUGCAUUGACAUUUUUGAAAAAUUAAGUGUUUUGGCCCUUGAGCCAAGAAUGUGUUGAAGACUGUUUUAUUUUCAUAUAUUUUUCAAUUUGCCAGUUUUACUUUUGCUUUUAAUUUUUUGUUUUAUUCACUUUUGGUCAGAAAGUGUUUAUAAUUUUGGUCUUCCUAAAUCUAUUUAUUGUUGCUGUUAGAAGAUUUUACUGUGUCACUCAGGCUGGAGUGCAGUGGCAUAAUUUUGGCUCACUGCAGCCAUAACCUCCCAGGCUCAAGUGAUCCUUUUACCUCAGUCUUCCAAGUAGCUGGCACUACAGACGUGCCAUGGCUGCUACCAUGCCUGGCUAAUUUUUUGAUUAUUUGUAGGAACAGGAUCUCGCUAUGUUGCCCAGGCUGGUGUCAAAUUUCUGGCCCAGCUGGGUCUUCCAAAGUGUUCAGAUUAUAGGCAUGAGCCACUGCACCCAGCCAGCAUUCUUAAAUUUAAUAAGACUUGAUUUGUGUCCUAACAGAAUACACCAGGUGCAAAUAAGAAUAUUGUGUAUUCUCUUGCUUUUGAUUAAAAGGGUUUGUACAGGUCUGUUAAGCCUAUUUGGUCUGUGAUAUGGCUUGGAUGUCGAUGUUCUCCAAACCUCAUAUUGCAAUGUAAUCAUCAUUGUUUUGGGUCCUGAUAGAAGGUGAAUAUGGGACCUAGAGGGAGGUGCUUAGGUCAUGAGGGAAAGUUCCUCAUGGAUGGCUUGGCACUAUCCUCUUGUUAAUCAGUAAGUUUACACUCUGUUAAUUCAAGUAAGAGCUAGUUCAUUAAAAAAAAAAAAAAAAAAAAAAAAAAAAAAAAACCUGGCUUCUUUACCUCACACUUGCUUUGUAUCUUACCAUGUGAUGUGUCCAGUUUUCUGUGCAUUGCACUGUGAUUGUAAGCUUCCUGAGACCCUCACCAGAAGCAGAUGCUGGCACACACUUUUUGUACAGUCUGCCGAACUGUGACCCAAAUCUUUUUUCUUUAUAAAUUAUCCACUCUCAGGUAUUCCUCUAUAUGUAAAUAAUUUUGAAGUUUGCAAUUUACUUUUUUUUUUUUUUUUUUUUUGAGACAGAGUCUUGCUUUGUCACCCAGGCUGGAGUAUAAUGGUGCAAUCUCCGCCCACUGCAACCUUAGCCUCCUGGGUUCAAGCGGUUCUCCUGCCUUAGCCUCCCAAUUAGCUGGGACUACAGGCUCCUGCCACCAUGCCCAGCUAAUUUUUUUUUCUAUUUUUAGUAGAGAUGCGGUUUCACUAUGUUGGCCAGGCUGGUCUUGAACUCCUGACCUCGUGAUCCGCCCGCCUCAGCCUCCUAAAGUGCUGGGAGUACAGGUGUGAGUCACUGCACCUGGCUGUAAUUUACUUCUAAAAACAUUAUGUUAUGUUGGGGAGUAGAAAAAGCUGUGUUGGGUAAAUGUGACAGAAUUUUUCUUUUUCUAUGCGGCUCUUUGCAUUGUGCUCACCUGGGGCAAUGCGUACACUUAAUUAUGGCCUGUGGUGCCAUCUUGCUUAUGUAGUUUGUGUAAUUUUAUAAGUUAGGUUUGGAAAGUAUAUUUAUCUGAGUCUGUAAAGUAAUGUGUUAUUUUUAUUUCUUUCAGUAAUGUGUUCUCAUUUUGCCCAAGAGUUUUGGCCAGAGCAGAACAUAAAAGAUUCUUUUGAAAAAGUGACACUGAGAAGAUAUGAAAAAUGUGGAAAUGAUAAUUUUCAGUUAAAAGGCUGUAAAAGUGUGGAUGAAUGUAAGGUGCACAAGGGAGGUUAUAAUGGUCUUAACCAAUGUUUACCAACUACACAAAGCAAAAUGUUUCAGUGUGAUAAAUAUGUGAAAGUCUUUAAUAAAUUUUCACAUUCAGAUAGACGUAAGAUAAAACAUGUGGAAAAUAAACCUUUCAAAUGUAAAGAAUGUGGCAAAUCAUUUUGCAUGCUUUCACACCUAACUCGACAUGAAAGAAAUUAUACCAAGGUGAAUUUCUGCAAAUGUGAAGAAUGUGAAAAAGCUUUUAACCAAUCUUCAAAGCUUACUAAACAUAAAAGAAUUUAUACUUGUGAGAAACUCUACAAAUGUCAAGAAUGUGACAGAACUUUUAGCCAAUUCUCAAACCUUACUGAAUAUAAAAAAGAUUAUACUCGAGAGAAACCAUACAAAUGUGAAGAAUGUGGCAAAGCCUUUAACCAGUCCUCACACCUUACUACACAUAAGAUAAUUCAUACAGGAGAGAAACCCUACAAAUGUGAAGAAUGUGGCAAAGCCUUUAACCAAUUCUCAAAUCUUACUACACAUAAAAAAAUUCACACUGGAGAGCAACCCUACAUAUGUGAAGAAUGUGGCAAGGCUUUUACCCAAUCCUCAACCCUUACUACACAUAAGAGAAUUCAUACUGGAGAGAAGCCCUACAAAUGUGAAGAAUGUGGAAAAGCUUUUAACCGAUCCUCAAAACUUACUGAACAUAAAAACAUUCAUACUGGAGAGCAACCCUACAAAUGUGAGGAAUGUGGCAAAGCUUUUAACCGAUCCUCAAAUCUUACGGAACAUAGGAAAAUUCAUACCGAAGAGAAACCCUACAAAUGUAAAGAAUGUGGCAAAGCUUUUAAACACUCCUCAGCCCUUACUACACAUAAGAGAAUUCACACUGGAGAGAAACCCUACAUAUGUGAAGAGUGUGGCAAAGCUUUUAACCGAUCCUCAAAACUUACUGAACAUAAGAAACUUCAUACUGGAAAGAAACCCUACAAAUGUGAAGAAUGUGGCAAAGCUUUUAUCCAAUCCUCAAAACUUACUGAACAUAAGAAAAUUCAUUCUGGAGAGAUACCCUACAAGUGUGAAGAAUGUGGCAAAGCUUUUAAACACUCCUCAUCCCUUACUACACAUAAGAGAAUUCAUACUGGGGAGAAACCCUACAAAUGUGAAGAAUGUGGCAAAGCUUUUAGCCGAUCCUCAAAACUUACUGAACAUAAGAUAAUUCAUACUGGAGAGAAACCCUAUAAAUGUGAGAGAUGUGACAAAGCUUUUAACCAAUCUGCAAACCUUACUAAACAUAAAAAAAUACAUACUGGAGAGAAACUACAAAACUGGAAUGUGUGACAAUGAUUUUGACAACACCUCAAACUUUUCUAAUUAUAAAGGAAAUCAUACUGGUGAAAAAUUCUAGAAAUGUAAAGAAUGUGUCAAAGUCUUUAAAUGGUUUUCACACUUCAUUGUAUGUAAGAUAAUUCAUACUGGAGAAAACUACAAGUGUGAAGAAUUUGGCAAUACUGUUAAUUAAGGCUCAAACCUUAUUGCACAGGAAAGCAUUUAUACUUAAGAAAAAUUGUACAAAUACAAAGAAUGUAAAAUAGCCAUUAAUAUCUGUUGACAUCUUAAUAACAGAAUGUUGGUACUUAAUAAAAGCAUUAUAAAUGC